This 96-nucleotide non-coding RNA is filed under the name unclassified sequences. The record is from Rfam.
GGGCGGUUAAACGUCGCGUGCUAUUUUCGCGCGACGGCCCGCCGAAAGGAUGAGCCCGCCGGACGGCGGCUGGGAGCGAGUAGGCGGGUGCCGCCC